AUUUGGGUUUGCUAUGCUUUGCUUUUCUCCUCGUCAGCCUAGAAACUAGUUUUAAAAAAUUUCAAAAUUUAAAUAGAGACUCAAAUCUAGUCAGUAACUUCUUAAUCGCUAAGUAAACACCAUGGAGGAUGACCUGGAGUUUCUCAUCAAUGCUCUGUCAGUGCCGAAUACUCCUCUGACCGAGCCGUAUGAUGAGAAUCAGCUGCUGGACAUGCGUGAGUCCUUCAAGACGCUGCAGAAGCUCCUUCGACGCAGCUCCUUGCCCGUGGAGGAGAGUCUGCCCUACAUGCCGAGAUCAAAAGCCGGAGGAUAUACAGACAGGCUGGAGGAAAGGGCGCUUGUAUCCAUGUUGGCCCUUACGACAGAUUUCGAGAAGAUCAGCGAUCCUGGCAGUGGUCACCAGGUGUGGAACUCGGCGCAAAGUGGAGCCCACUCGUCGCCCAUUAUUUCGGAGUGCGGUCUGCGGGAUCGAGAUCGAGAUCAGGAUCUAGACAACAGUUCAUGGGACGAGAGUCCCGAUAUUGGAGACAUGGCACUGGUGCCCUACGAGGAACUCUGCAAUGAGCGGACUAGCUCGAACACCACGAUCACCGGCCAGUCCUUCUCCUCGUCGGGCAUCUCGAUUAGCAUUCCCGUAAGGUUGGUCUGGAACAACGACGAGUACAAGUCUGAGACAACGGACAGCGAAACCACCAUAAAGCCCGAUGGGUGUCGGUACACUGUCCGAAAUUAGGCUCUCAUAACUUUUGAUCGGCAUGGUAGGCAAAAUUUUAAACAUCCCUAGUUUAAAGUUUGCAAGUUUAAGGCUUUUCAAUAGGUAGCUUCAUAAAAUUAUUUCAGAAAGCUUUUAAGAGCUUUCCGCCUGGUGAGACCUCAUCAACAUACCCUCAACAUGUGAAGCGCCUCUCUAUGCGCUUCUCAACAUUUUAACGUCAGAGGUGGAUGGUACUAGGAGAUCACGGAUCAACGUCAUCAAAUUAGAACGCAUGACAUGACCCCAGACACAGUUUUAAUGAGUGGGCAUACCGACAUGGGCAUGUGCCUGUGACCCCCUGCUUAACCCAUGCUGGCCACUCUCAACGGCUGCAAUAGAACUUGUAAAAGU
This is an RNA transcript of Drosophila elegans, 1105 nucleotides long. RefSeq lists it as uncharacterized. The transcript is spliced from 2 exons. Lineage: Eukaryota; Metazoa; Arthropoda; Insecta; Diptera; Drosophilidae. The record is from RefSeq and is a predicted model, not a curated record.